UACGAAGGGGGCUAGCGUUGUUCGGAAUCACUGGGCGUAAAGCGCACGCAGGCGGAUUGAUAAGUCAGGGGUGAAAUCCCGGAGCUCAACUUCGGAAUUGCCUUUGAUACUGUCUGUCUUGAGUCCGGGAGAGGUGAGUGGAAUUCCUAGUGUAGAGGUGAAAUUCGUAGAUAUUAGGAAGAACACCAGUAGCGAAGGCGGCUCACUGGCCCGGUACUGACGCUCAUGUGCGAAAGCGUGGGGAGCAAACAGG
RNAcentral lists this ribosomal RNA (253 nucleotides) under uncultured bacterium. Its description in RNAcentral is "partial 16S ribosomal RNA". It matches the Rfam family "Bacterial small subunit ribosomal RNA", at positions 524 to 776 of the family's 1533-position model. The record is from RNAcentral.